This 23-nucleotide microRNA is filed under the name Homo sapiens (human). Its description in RNAcentral is "hsa-miR-7705". The record is from miRBase by way of RNAcentral. Lineage: Eukaryota; Metazoa; Chordata; Mammalia; Primates; Hominidae.
AAUAGCUCAGAAUGUCAGUUCUG